RNAcentral lists this ribosomal RNA (450 nucleotides) under uncultured bacterium. RNAcentral's name for it is "partial 16S ribosomal RNA". It matches the Rfam family "Bacterial small subunit ribosomal RNA", at positions 354 to 796 of the family's 1533-position model. The record is from RNAcentral.
GUGGGGAAUUUUGGACAAUGGGCGCAAGCCUGAUCCAGCAAUGCCGCGUGCAGGAAGAAGGCCUUCGGGUUGUAAACUGCUUUUGUACGGAACGAAACGGUCCGGGUUAAUACCCUGGGCUAAUGACGGUACCGUAAGAAUAAGCACCGGCUAACUACGUGCCAGCAGCCGCGGUAAUACGUAGGGUGCAAGCGUUAAUCGGAAUUACUGGGCGUAAAGCGUGCGCAGGCGGUUUUGUAAGACAGGCGUGAAAUCCCCGGGCUCAACCUGGGAAUUGCGGUUGUGACUGCAAGGCUGGAGUGCGGCAGAGGGGGAUGGAAUUCCGCGUGUAGCAGUGAAAUGCGUAGAUAUGCGGAGGAACACCGAUGGCGAAGGCAAUCCCCUGGGCCUGCACUGACGCUCAUGCACGAAAGCGUGGGGAGCAAACAGGAUUAGAAACCCCUGUAGUCC